CACUGUCGCCAGGGGAGCCCGCAGCUGUUGGGCUGAGAAUGCGCACUGCGCAGACCCUGGAACCUGAUCCGGUUCAUACCGGCGGAGGAAGUGCGACAUGCCUUACCU
RNAcentral lists this non-coding RNA (108 nucleotides) under Halomonas campaniensis. RNAcentral describes it as "TPP sequence". It matches the Rfam family "TPP riboswitch aptamer (THI element)". Rfam says of the family: Vitamin B(1) in its active form thiamin pyrophosphate (TPP) is an essential coenzyme that is synthesised by coupling of pyrimidine and thiazole moieties in bacteria. The previously detected thiamin-regulatory element, thi box was extended, resulting in a new, highly conserved RNA secondary structure, the THI element, which is widely distributed in eubacteria and also occurs in some archaea. The record is from RNAcentral. Lineage: Bacteria; Pseudomonadati; Pseudomonadota; Gammaproteobacteria; Oceanospirillales; Halomonadaceae.